This 253-nucleotide ribosomal RNA is filed under the name uncultured bacterium. RNAcentral's name for it is "partial 16S ribosomal RNA". It matches the Rfam family "Bacterial small subunit ribosomal RNA", at positions 524 to 776 of the family's 1533-position model. The record is from RNAcentral.
UACGGAGGAUCCGAGCGUUAUCCGGAUUUAUUGGGUUUAAAGGGAGCGUAGGUGGAUUGUUAAGUCAGUUGUGAAAGUUUGCGGCUCAACCGUAAAAUUGCAGUUGAAACUGGCAGUCUUGAGUACAGUAGAGGUGGGCGGAAUUCGUGGUGUAGCGGUGAAAUGCUUAGAUAUCACGAAGAACUCCGAUUGCGAAGGCAGCUCACUGGACUGCAACUGACACUGAGGCUCGAAAGUGUGGGUAUCAAAUAGG